This 1327-nucleotide long non-coding RNA is filed under the name Olea europaea subsp. europaea. The record is from RNAcentral. Lineage: Eukaryota; Viridiplantae; Streptophyta; Magnoliopsida; Lamiales; Oleaceae.
CUGACUAUGAGAUUAACUGUAUACUUGUGAGCCCAAUUAAUUUCAUGGAAAUAAACAUCAAUUAAUUAACAUGUUGCUCAUUGAAGUCACAAAAGUUAGAUAGAAUGUAGCUAUUUCAUGGAGCUGCAAAUUAUUAUACAAACAAAAGUUGUUUGUUCACUUAACACAUACACAAAACCCUUAAAGCUAAUCAAAUAUUAACCACUGCUCAAGCCAACCCUUUCCCUUUUGUGCAUGCGUUCGCAAUGCCUUUUCCCUUGUGGGUAGUCACAUUCACAGAAAUACCUAUUUUUUCUUCGUCGUUUGAUCAAACUUGAGAUUGGAACAUAUGGAUGAUAUUGUCAGAUGUUUCAUUUGCCACUUCUUCAGCCUUGGUAAUGCUAACGGUACUCGAUUCACCAAUUGCUUUUCAUUUUUCGCACCACUCCCAAAAUCUGUACUUAAUACUGCAACAUUUGAAAAAUUUGCCUUUGUCAGCAGUCUCUCUUUCAACCACAAAAACUUCUAAAACCCAUUGGUACACUGUGGGCAUCGACAUUUUAUUGGGCAAUUGACGAAGAAGUGUCUCUUUCUCUUGCAUUCGCGACAUACUUCAGAAUUCUUACCCACCAUCUUGAAAACGCAAGCACAUAGAGAAUUAUGAAUGAGCAUACCAUAAGAAAUGAAAAUCAUAGAACUUUUUAGCAGUAAAUAACUAAAGUGUACCACUAUCAGCCACUCCUUUCACAAUAAAUGAAUGAUACGAAAAAAAAGAAGAGAAAAACACGACAACAUCAGCUACUCUAUUCAGAAUGCCAACAACUGAAAUACAGGAAACAGUUUUCCUCAAGUUGCAUUAAAAAAACUCAAAAUCAGAUAACAAUAACUAAAAUUCAAGAGAUGGAUAGUAUAAAAAUUGCAAUAGCAUAUACAAGCAUUUAUAUUCCUAAAAAAAUUAAGAGAUAGGCUAAUGCAUGAAUAAAUUGAAAAAAAAGAUUACUGAAAGAACAAAUAGCUCACAAUAGCACUUUGAUUUACAUAAUGCUGUAGAUAAAUCACUAAUUAAACCACAUACUUGUCUUCUGAGUCGUAAUAUCGUGUAUGAAGUAGGAUUUGAUGGACGCUUGAGCUAGGUCUUCAUUGUUUCGCGAUGGCUGAACUAUUGAGACCGUAAUGGCCUUGACGAACAGUCAAAUAUGGGCGAUCGACCGGAAAGGAAGAGUACUGUUGGAAGUAAAACUUAACAGUCGGUAAGUGACAUGGUGCUUCAAAAUUCAAGAUUUCGCAGGAAAGGAUGUCAUCGGUUUGGAGGGUUUGAAAAUGGGGAAUAUCAGAGGAGAGAUAGGGC